AGUGAACGCUGGCGGUAGGCCUAACACAUGCAAGUCGAACGGCAGCACAGUAAGAGCUUGCUCUUACGGGUGGCGAGUGGCGGACGGGUGAGGAAUACAUCGGAAUCUACUUUUUCGUGGGGGAUAACGUAGGGAAACUUACGCUAAUACCGCAUACGACCUACGGGUGAAAGCAGGGGAUCUUCGGACCUUGCGCGAUUGAAUGAGCCGAUGUCAGAUUAGCUAGUUGGCGGGGUAAAGGCCCACCAAGGCGACGAUCCGUAGCUGGUCUGAGAGGAUGAGCAGCCACACUGGAACUGAGACACGGUCCAGACUCCUACGGGAGGCAGCAGUGGGGAAUAUUGGACAAUGGGCGCAAGCCUGAUCCAGCCAUACCGCGUGGGUGAAGAAGGCCUUCUGGUUGUAAAGUCAUUUUGUUGGGAAAGAAAAGCAGCAGGUUAAUACCCCGCUGUUCUGACGGUACCCAAAGAAGAAGCACCGGCUAACUUCGUG
Molecule: ribosomal RNA, 492 nt
Filed under: uncultured bacterium
Lineage: Bacteria
Description: partial 16S ribosomal RNA
Rfam family: Bacterial small subunit ribosomal RNA
Source: RNAcentral